AAACCAACAGGGAUUGCCUCAGUAACGGCGAGUGAAGCGGCAAGAGCUCAAAUUUGAAAUCUGGCCCCCUCGGGGCCCGAGUUGUAAUUUGUAGAGGAUGCUUCGGGUGGAGCCGCGGUCUAAGUCCCCUGGAACGGGGCGUCGCAGAGGGUGAGAAUCCCGUCUUCGGCCGGCCGGCUUCGCCCGUGUGAAGCUCCUUCGACGAGUCGAGUUGUUUGGGAAUGCAGCUCUAAAUGGGUGGUAAAUUUCAUCUAAAGCUAAAUACUGGUCGGAGACCGAUAGCGCACAAGUAGAGUGAUCGAAAGAUGAAAAGCACUUUGAAAAGAGAGUUAAACAGCAUGUGAAAUUGUUGAAAGGGAAGCGCUUGCGAUCAGAGUCGUCCGCGGGGGCUCAGCGGGCAUUCGUUGCCCGUGCACUCCCCCGCGGUCGGGCCAGCGUCGGUUCUGACGGCCGGUCAAAGGCCCCCGGAAUGUGUCGCCUCUCGGGGCGUCUUAUAGCCGGGGGUGCAAUGCGGCCUGUCGGGACCGAGGAACGCGCUCCGGCACGGACGCUGGCUUAAUGGUCGUAAGCGAC
RNAcentral lists this ribosomal RNA (573 nucleotides) under uncultured Onygenales. RNAcentral describes it as "partial large subunit ribosomal RNA". It matches the Rfam family "Eukaryotic large subunit ribosomal RNA", at positions 62 to 648 of the family's 3401-position model. Lineage: Eukaryota; Fungi; Ascomycota; Eurotiomycetes; Onygenales. The record is from RNAcentral.